This 207-nucleotide ribosomal RNA is filed under the name uncultured bacterium. RNAcentral describes it as "partial 16S ribosomal RNA". It matches the Rfam family "Bacterial small subunit ribosomal RNA", at positions 568 to 774 of the family's 1533-position model. The record is from RNAcentral.
UGCGUAGGCGGCUUUUUAAGUUGGAUGUGAAAUCCCUGAGCUUAACUUAGGAAUUGCAUUCGAUACUGGGAAGCUAGAGUAUGGGAGAGGAUGGUAGAAUUCCAGGUGUAGCGGUGAAAUGCGUAGAGAUCUGGAGGAAUACCGAUGGCGAAGGCAGCCAUCUGGCCUAAUACUGACGCUGAGGUACGAAAGCAUGGGGAGCAAACA